RNAcentral lists this ribosomal RNA (727 nucleotides) under uncultured bacterium. Its description in RNAcentral is "bacterial SSU rRNA". It matches the Rfam family "Bacterial small subunit ribosomal RNA", at positions 140 to 853 of the family's 1533-position model. The record is from RNAcentral.
GGGAUACCACUUGGAAACAGGUGCUAAUACCGUAUAACACUAUUUUCCGCAUGGAAGAAAGUUGAAAGGCGCUUUUGCGCCACUGAUGGAUGGACCCGCGGUGCAUUAGCUAGUUGGUGAGGUAACGGCUCACCAAGGCCACGAUGCAUAGCCGACCUGAGAGGGUGAUCGGCCACACUGGGACUGAGACACGGCCCAGACUCCUACGGGAGGCAGCAGUAGGGAAUCUUCGGCAAUGGACGAAAGUCUGACCGAGCAACGCCGCGUGAGUGAAGUAGGUUUUCGGAUCGUAAAACUCUGUUGUUAGAGAAGAACAAGGAUGAGAGUAAAACGUUCAUCCCUUGACGGUAUCUAACCAGAAAGCCACGGCUAACUACGUGCCAGCAGCCGCGGUAAUACGUAGGUGGCAAGCGUUGUCCGGAUUUAUUGGGCGUAAAGCGAGCGCAGGCGGUUUCUUAAGUCUGAUGUGAAAGCCCCCGGCUCAACCGGGGAGGGUCAUUGGAAACUGGGAGACUUGAGUGCAGAAGAGGAGAGUGGAAUUCCAUGUGUAGCGGUGAAAUGCGUAGAUAUAUGGAGGAACACCAGUGGCGAAGGCGGCUCUCUGGUCUGUAACUGACGCUGAGGCUCGAAAGCGUGGGGAGCGAACAGGAUUAGAUACCCUGGUAGUCCACGCCGUAAACGAUGAGUACUAAGUGUUGGAGGGUUUCCGCCCUUCAGUGCUGCAGCA